CUACGGGAGGCAGCAGUGGGGAAUAUUGGACAAUGGGCGAAAGCCUGAUCCAGCAAUGCCGCGUGAGUGAUGAAGGCCCUAGGGUUGUAAAGCUCUUUUACCAGGGAUGAUAAUGACAGUACCUGGAGAAUAAGCUCCGGCUAACUCCGUGCCAGCAGCCGCGGUAAUACGGAGGGAGCUAGCGUUGUUCGGAAUUACUGGGCGUAAAGCGCGCGUAGGCGGCCUAUCAAGUCAGGGGUGAAAGCCCGGGGCUCAACCCCGGAACUGCCUUUGAAACUAGUAGGCUAGAAUCUUGGAGAGGCGAGUGGAAUUCCGAGUGUAGAGGUGAAAUUCGUAGAUAUUCGGAAGAACACCAGUGGCGAAGGCGACUCGCUGGACAAGUAUUGACGCUGAGGUGCGAAAGCGUGGGGAGCAAACAGGAUUAGAAACCCUAGUAGUCC
Molecule: ribosomal RNA, 440 nt
Filed under: uncultured bacterium
Lineage: Bacteria
Description: bacterial SSU rRNA
Rfam family: Bacterial small subunit ribosomal RNA
Source: RNAcentral